Long non-coding RNA from Neltuma alba, 154 nucleotides. RefSeq lists it as uncharacterized. NCBI's taxonomy places the organism in Eukaryota, Viridiplantae, Streptophyta, Magnoliopsida, Fabales, Fabaceae. The transcript is spliced from 2 exons. The record is from RefSeq and is a predicted model, not a curated record.
GAAAGCAAAAGAUUACAAUCCCGUGCCGUCGAAAAAGAGCAGCGUCGUCUUCAUGUUCCAAUUAUUGACCGGGCUUAUGGUGAGCCAGCACCUUAUGUUGUCGUGGUGCAGGGCCCUCCCAAGGUGGGGAAGUCGCUCUUAAUAAAGUCCUUGG